This 468-nucleotide ribosomal RNA is filed under the name uncultured bacterium. RNAcentral describes it as "partial 16S ribosomal RNA". It matches the Rfam family "Bacterial small subunit ribosomal RNA", at positions 28 to 507 of the family's 1533-position model. The record is from RNAcentral.
GACGAACGCUGGCGGCGUGCUUAACACAUGCAAGUCGAACGGAAAGGCCCUGCUUUUGUGGGGUGCUCGAGUGGCGAACGGGUGAGUAACACGUGAGUAACCUGCCCUUGACUCUGGGAUAACUUCAGGAAACUGGGGCUAAUACCGGAUAGGAGCUCCUGCUGCAUGGUGGGGGUUGGAAAGUUUCGGCGGUUGGGGAUGGACUCGCGGCUUAUCAGCUUGUUGGUGGGGUAGUGGCUUACCAAGGCUUUGACGGGUAGCCGGCCUGAGAGGGUGACCGGCCACAUUGGGACUGAGAUACGGCCCAGACUCCUACGGGAGGCAGCAGUGGGGAAUAUUGCACAAUGGGCGGAAGCCUGUUGCAGCAACGCCGCGUGCGGGAUGACGGCCUUCGGGUUGUAAACCGCUUUCGCCUGUGACGAAGCGUGAGUGACGGUAAUGGGUAAAGAAGCACCGGCUAACUACGUG